Unclassified non-coding RNA from Gorilla gorilla gorilla (western lowland gorilla), 109 nucleotides. It matches the Rfam family "Y RNA". From Rfam's summary of the family: Y RNAs are components of the Ro ribonucleoprotein particle (Ro RNP), in association with Ro60 and La proteins. The Y RNAs and Ro60 and La proteins are well conserved, but the function of the Ro RNP is not known. The record is from Ensembl. Lineage: Eukaryota; Metazoa; Chordata; Mammalia; Primates; Hominidae.
GGCUGGUCCGAAGGUGGUGUGAGUUACCUCAGUUGAUUGUUCACAGUCACAGAUCCAACUCCAGGUUCUACUUUUUCACCUUCCCACUACUGCAGUUGACUAGACUUGU